UUCAAGGUAAACAUUAGUAUUAAUAUGUAUCCUUUUUUUUAUGUGUUCCUAGAAUCCUGUUACACCUGGGAUUUAGGCACUUUCAAUCUGAAAAAAACAUAUCCCUUCGGCACUCUGGAUGGACUUGAGAAUUGUCCUUACCUGAACUAAAGCUGGAGUAUUUUGAGAUUGGAGAAUUAAGGACAGGAAAUUGAGGCUGUUCCCUUGACCUCUCCAGACAACUUCGUGGUGACUUCAAGCCCUCUUAUGAGGUGGUGGAUCAUAGCUACCGUUGAUUGAGACUAUGUGUCCAGACUUCCAGAGAGCAGACAUAUUGAUGCAGUCGAAUUGCCCACCUUUCACAUUCCCCUUAUUGUUCCAUGGAUGGAGUAUAAUAAAUUGGCAAUUAAUGGAAGAGAAAAGAAGGACAGAAUAAUGGGCUCCAGAUUCGCAAGCCCCACCAAGAGGAUCACCCCAGGAACCCUUGGAGGCUGAGGAGUUCACUGAGGCU
Molecule: long non-coding RNA, 490 nt
Filed under: Theropithecus gelada (gelada)
Lineage: Eukaryota; Metazoa; Chordata; Mammalia; Primates; Cercopithecidae
Description: lncRNA (ENSTGEG00000010868.1)
Rfam family: Pvt1 oncogene conserved region 5 (bases 53-181)
Source: RNAcentral